UACGAAGGGGGGCUAGCGUUGUUCGGAAUUACUGGGCGUAAAGCGCACGUAGGCGGAUACUUAAGUCAGGGGUGAAAUCCCGGGGCUCAACCCCCGGAACUGCCUUUGAUACUGGGUAUCUCGAGUCCGGAAGAGGUGAGUGGAAUUCCGAGUGUAGAGGUGAAAUUCGUAGAUAUUCGGAGGAACACCAGUGGCGAAGGCGGGCCU
RNAcentral lists this ribosomal RNA (207 nucleotides) under uncultured bacterium. Its description in RNAcentral is "partial 16S ribosomal RNA". It matches the Rfam family "Bacterial small subunit ribosomal RNA", at positions 524 to 728 of the family's 1533-position model. The record is from RNAcentral.